Molecule: ribosomal RNA, 468 nt
Filed under: uncultured bacterium
Lineage: Bacteria
Description: partial 16S ribosomal RNA
Rfam family: Bacterial small subunit ribosomal RNA
Source: RNAcentral
GACGAACGCUGGCGGCGUGCUUAACACAUGCAAGUCGAACGGAAAGGCCCUGCUUUUGUGUGGUGCUCGAGUGGCGAACGGGUGAGUAACACGUGAGUAACCUGCCCUUGACUUUGGGAUAACUUCAGGAAACUGGGGCUAAUACCGGAUAGGAGCUCCUGCUGCAUGGUGGGGGUUGGAAAGUUUCGGCGGUUGGGGAUGGACUCGCGGCUUAUCAGCUUGUUGGUGGGGUAGUGGCUUACCAAGGCUUUGGCGGGUAGCCGGCCUGAGAGGGUGACCGGCCACAUUGGGACUGAGAUACGGACCAGACUCCUACGGGAGGCAGCAGGGGGGAAUAUUGCACAAUGGGCGGAAGCCUGAUGCAGCAACGCCGCGUGCGGGAUGACGGCCUUCGGGUUGUAAACCGCUUUCGCCUGUGACGAAGCGUGAGUGACGGUAAUGGGUAAAGAAGCACCGGCUAACUACGUG